AUGGCUCCGCCGCCGCGCACCACCGCGCCCAUUGGCCACCUCGAGCUGCACGGCUUGUCCAGGAGGACGGGCGUGCUCCUCUUCAUCGACCACACCCCGGGGUCGAGGCCGAGAAGCACCACCAGUGACGCCCGCGCCCGUUCCCCUCGUCGGCGUCCACCUCGGCCACCGGUUCGAUCCGCGGACGUCCGACCCUCGGCCCCCUCGACCUCGUCGCGACCCUCACUAUGCUGGAGUCCAGGAGCCAGACGCCACCCUCGACGACGACGACUCCUACUACACCGGAGGUGCCUACUACUACGUGCAACCCGCUGA
This 315-nucleotide ribosomal RNA is filed under the name Triticum aestivum (bread wheat). RNAcentral describes it as "partial small subunit ribosomal RNA". Lineage: Eukaryota; Viridiplantae; Streptophyta; Magnoliopsida; Poales; Poaceae. The record is from RNAcentral.